RNAcentral lists this ribosomal RNA (423 nucleotides) under uncultured bacterium. RNAcentral's name for it is "bacterial SSU rRNA". It matches the Rfam family "Bacterial small subunit ribosomal RNA", at positions 376 to 793 of the family's 1533-position model. The record is from RNAcentral.
CGCAAGCCUGAUGCAGCCAUGCCGCGUGUAUGAAGAAGGCCUUCGGGUUGUAAAGUACUUUCAGCAGUGAGGAAGUGGGUAUGUUAAUAGCAUAUUCAUUUGACGUUAGCUGCAGAAGAAGCACCGGCUAACUCCGUGCCAGCAGCCGCGGUAAUACGGAGGGUGCGAGCGUUAAUCGGAAUUACUGGGCGUAAAGCGCAUGCAGGUGGUUUGUUAAGUCAGAUGUGAAAGCCCGGGGCUCAACCUCGGAAUUGCAUUUGAAACUGGCAAACUAGAGUACUGUAGAGGGGGUAGAAUUUCAGGUGUAGCGGUGAAAUGCGUAGAGAUCUGAAGGAAUACCGGUGGCGAAGGCGGCCCCCUGGACAGAUACUGACACUCAGAUGCGAAAGCGUGGGGAGCAAACAGGAUUAGAUACCCUGGUAG